UACGAAGGGUGCUAGCGUUGUUCGGAAUCACUGGGCGUAAAGCGCGCGUAGGCGGUUUUUCAAGUCAGGGGUGAAAUCCUUGGGCUCAACCCAAGAAUUGCCUUUGAAAUUGAAAGACUGGAGUAUUGGAGGGGAUAGCGGAAUUCCUAAUGUAGAGGUGAAAUUCGUAGAUAUCAAGAGGAACACCAGUGGCGAAGGCGAGUCCCUGGACAACACCUGACACUGAGGCACGAAAGCUAGGGGAGCAAACAGG
Molecule: ribosomal RNA, 253 nt
Filed under: uncultured prokaryote
Description: partial 16S ribosomal RNA
Rfam family: Bacterial small subunit ribosomal RNA
Source: RNAcentral